UACGUAGGGGGCAAGCGUUGUCCGGAAUUAUUGGGCGUAAAGAGCGUGUAGGCGGUCCGGUAAGUCAGCUGUGAAAGUCAAGGGCUCAACCCUUGAAUGCCGGUUGAUACUGUCGGGCUAGAGUCCGGAAGAGGCGAGUGGAAUUCCCGGUGUAGUGGUGAAAUGCGCAGAUAUCGGGAGGAACACCAAUGGCGAAGGCAGCUCGCUGGGACGGUACUGACGCUGAGACGCGAAAGCGUGGGGAGCAAACAGG
This 253-nucleotide ribosomal RNA is filed under the name uncultured bacterium. RNAcentral describes it as "partial 16S ribosomal RNA". It matches the Rfam family "Bacterial small subunit ribosomal RNA", at positions 524 to 776 of the family's 1533-position model. The record is from RNAcentral.